GAUUGCCUAGGAAUAUUUACAUAUCAGAAUUGGUUAUGCUUGUCCCCCUGAGGUGGACCAUUACAAAUCAAGCAAGAUUGCAUUGCAUUGCUAGCUUUGUCCUUUUCUUUAGACGUAAUCUCUGAGGUAUGUAGGCUUGGUGAUUCUUCUUUUGGGCUUGUUUGCUACUUGCACCCCUACUCCUGCUGUUGUGUUCACUGUUUGCUUGUUGAUUUCCUUUGCUGCCCCUGUUUCUGUAUCAUCCCUCGGUCCUUGCAAAGUCACCUUGUCCUCAAGGUGAAAGUCUUGGCAUAGCUACGACCAAUCCUCCCAAGAUGUCUCAUCUGGGGACAGGCCAUGCCAAAACACCAAAGCUUCCCAAGGAGCGUUAGGAUCGGAAGAGUGACGAUGAUAAUCUAGUAUGGCCAAGGGAAAAAUGAGGGGUUGAUUGUCAAUGCAAUUUGGGGGUAGCUCUGCUGGCUUCGACGUCAUUGGCAAACCGUGGAAUGGUUUGAGUGUGGAACAAUGGAAAAUAGGGUGAAUUCGUGCUCCUUUUGGUAGUUGCAAGCGGUACGCCAUGGGACCUAUUCUCUCUAUGAUCUGAAAUGGCCCGUAAUACCUCUUUGCUAAUUUGCCCAUACUAGCCGGAGUUCCUUUUGCCGAUGUUUCGCGGUAUGGUCGGAGCUUGACUAAAACCCAGUCACCACAUUCAUAAUUGACCUCGUGCCGCUUCUUAUCAGCAUAUGUCUUCAUACAUGCUUGAGCCUUUAAGAGCUUCUUUCGAAUUGCUUGAAAGGUAGCUUCCCUUCCCGCCAGAAUAUCAUCCACAGCAUCCACCUUUGCAGUUCCUGUGAUAUAAUCUGGCAAAUUGAAUGGUUUCUUACCGAACAUUAUCUCAAAUGGAGUGGUGCUGGUGCUUGCAUUCCAAGCUGUAUUAUGGGACCACUCAACCCAAGGCAAAAGCUUUCCCCAAGCACCUGGCCUGCGGUGCAUGAAAGCCCGGAGAUACUAUUCAAUAAUGCGGUUGAGGACCUCUGUUUGGCCAUCACUCUGAGGGUGAUAGGUUGAACUCAUUCACAAUUGAGUUCCGCUUGAUCGAAAAAGGUCUUGCCAGAAUCUACUAAUGAACAAUGAGUCCCUAUCGGAGACAAGACUACGAGGAAUGCCGUGAAUUUUGGUCACAAUGUCGAUAAAGAGUGAGGCCACCCCAGAAGUAGUAUGAUUUGCCAGCAACAUUCCCAAGUGAAUGCCCUUGGAAAACCUAUCCACCACAACAAGAAUCAUGGUGUUACCAUGGUAAGAGGGCAAGCCAGCUAUGAAGUCCAAUGACAGGUCCUCCCAGGGUCGAGAAGGAACUGGGAGAGGGCACAGUAAUCCUGCCAGCUGUUUAGCCUCAUACUUUGUUACUUGGCAGUCUACACACUUGGCUACGAACUGAGCAACGUUCUCCCGGAGCCCUUGCCAAUAGAAAUUUUCUAACACCCGUGCUACGAUUUUAGCUACUCCAGUAUGACCUCCGGUUGGGGUGGCGUGAUAUUCAGUAAUCAAUGUGGGAAUCAAUGAAAAUCCACAGGGUAACCAGAUACGGCUGCGAUAGACCACAAGGUUCUGAGAGGUAGAGAAAUCCUUGAGGUUAGAUGGGUCAUUCAGGAUCUGUCGGAGCUGUUGCUAAUACUCUGGAUGAGUACCAAGUUGUCUGUGAAGUUCCUCCAUGAAUGUCAAACAGGGCACUGACAAGAUCAUGAGGGAAGCCUGGUCCUGCUCUGGUAAUCGUGACAAGGCGUUAGCUACUUGAUUAUGAUUGUCAGAACGGUAUUGAAUGGUGUAGUCAAACCCCAUUAAGCACGCCAAAUACAUAUGUUGUUCUGGGGUUUGUAUCACUUGGGUAAGCAAUUCCUUGAGACUAGACAUGACUUCUAUGACAAAACUACAAUAGGUGAACAAGUCACUCUAGAUUUUUGAGGUUUUCUUCUACUUUAAUAUUUUUGUAAGAAUUUUAUGGUUUAGGUUUCAGCCACAAAAAAUAACAAGACAAAACUCAAAGGAACCUAAACUCAACACAAUUCAUGGUUCAAGAACAAGAACAAGAAAUUUGAACCAUAGAAAAUCAAAUCUAACUUCUAUAGCAAGUUUAAUCGGUGGAAACUCUAAAGAAUCAUGUUAACAACAUUUAGAACAAGACAUGUGAGGAGAUACAUGGAGAAAAAUGAAGAAACAACAAUGGAAGAGAAGGUAAAGAAAAAAAAAUUAAUGGAGGUUUAAGGAGCACCUACUUGAAGCUCUUGUGCUCUGAUUACCACUUGAUGGAAGCUUGCUUGUGAAGAUUUUAUAGAGGCUGGAUCUUUGAGCUCCAAUGAGGUCCUUCAAUGGUGAUUUUUCACCAUGGAGAUGCAGCGGAAGGCAAAGGAGAAGAGGAGAGGGGAGGCACCAUCCACUAGGGAAUAAGCCAAGGAAGAAGGAGCUUCACCACCAAGAAUUGCCUUGGAUAAGAAGCUUGAAGAGGAUGCUUUAAUGGAGGAAAAGAAAGAGAGAAGGGGGGAGCACGAAAUUGAAGGAAUAAAAGAGGGAAAGAAGUGGAACUUUGAAGUGUAUCUCAUAAGACUUUCAUUCAUCAAAGUUACAACAAGUGUUACACAUGCUUCUAUUUAUAGACUAGGUAGCUUCCUUGAGAAGCUUUCUUGAGAAAACUUCCUUGAGAAGCUUCUUUGAGAAAACUUCCUUGAGAAGCUAGAGCUUAGCUACACACACCCCUCUCAUAACUAAGCUCACCUCCUUGAGAAGCUUCCUUAAGAAGAUUCCUAAAGAAGCUAAAGCUUAGCUACACAUACCUCUCUAAUAGCUAAGCUCACCUCCUUGAGAUGAGAAGCUAGAGCUUAGCUACACACCCCCUAUAAUAGCUAAGCUCACCCCCAUGAGAAAAAACAUGAAAAUAACAAAAAAAGUCCUUAUUACAAAGACAACUCAAAAUGCCCCGAAAUACAAGGCUAAAACCCUAUACUACUAGAAUGGCCAAAAUACAAGGCCUAGACGAAGGAAAAACCUAUUCUAAUAUUUACAAAGAUAAGCGGGCUCAUACUUAGCCCAUGGGCUCGAAAUCUACCCUAAGGCUCAUGAGAACCCUAGGGCCUUUCCUUGGAUCUCUAGCCCAAUCUACUUGGAGUCUUCUAGCCAAUGCCCUUGCGGGCUAGGAUUGCAUCAUUCCCUCCACCUUGGAAAGGAUUUGACCUCAAAUCCCGAGGUUCUUCAUACUCUGGGCUCCUUCCCUCAACACCUGUAAAAAGAAAAAAAACACAUGUAUUUGUGGUGUUUGGUAUGUUGAAGUAAGGUAAGGUCUGAAAACCCAUUUCCUGGGCAUCUUCCCAUGAAGGAACAUGGUUUCUCACCAAGUCAAUGAGUGGUGCUACAAGUAUAGAAAAAUAUGGGACAAACCUUUUGUAAAAGUUUGUUAAGUCAUGGAAGCCCCAAAUUUUUCUUAUACUUGGUGGAGUGAGCCACUCAGGAAUGACCUUUAUUCUCUUAUGGUUCAUGGGAACCUGUUGAUCACUAUUUGAAAAAUUAAGAAAAGUAACGCAAUAAAACAUACCUUUUUCUGUAUAUUCAUAUUGAUUAUUCAUACCAAAAAGUAUAACAAACCUAAGGUGUCCCAUAUGAGUACCUAAGUUUGUAUUGAAACUAAAAAUAAGAACAAACCUACCUAAUGGGUCCCUAUGUACACACACCAUGAAGAUGUUAGGUGUACGAGUGAUUUUACAAAAGAGGGUUGCACCACUCAAAACAUUCAUCAUACCACCUAUUUUAGGGACUUGGUGCCUAAUAAUACCUAUUUUGGGCACCAAAAAAAGCACAAGGAUUUAAGCUCUUGCGAACCAAACCCUCAUCCAACAACUUCUUUACUUGAGGAAUAAACUCAAGCCCAAGAGGUGUUGCAAUGCUAGCAAGUGUCUUUUUACAAAAGAGAAAAUGUGGAGGUUGUCUAAGAGGGAAAGUUUCUUUAAUGUUUGUCUUUAUUGUAAAAUGAGUUUCCUUCUUAGCUAACCUCUUGGAGGAGACACUUACCUCCUUACACUUCUCUUUAACCACUAAUGGUUGUCCAUCUUCUUGGGGGUAGAUUUCUUCACUAGAUUCUUCCCCUUUUGCUUCUUCACUCUCACUAGAGGAAGGUGAAGUAGUAGCCUCAUCUUGGCUACUAUAAAUGUCUUGGCCCCUCAUAAUCAUGGUUUUUGUGGUGGGGCAUUGAGAAGUAAUGUGUCCUCUUCCAAGACAUUUAAAGCACUUUAUAGAGCUAGUUUUCUCUUGCAUACUAGCCUUAGGGGCUUGCUUUUCUAUUGCCUUCCCCUUAUCAUCUUUGGGCUUAGAAGGUGUCACCCCUAAGAUGCCCUGAAUCUCUCUUAUUGCUUAAUAUAUCAAACUGAAAAAAUACAUUGGAAUAGAUUAGUUUAGACUUCAAGAACAUUUCAUAUGUGAAGUUAAUACUUUUGAUAUCUAACAGAAAGCAGACGAACCUCUGUUGAUGUUUUCCUUAAGGCUGCUGGGUAUUUGGAUUGUGCAGUCAAACAUGUUCUUCCACAGUUGCCUGUGGAACUCAGG
This 4566-nucleotide long non-coding RNA is filed under the name Glycine max (soybean). Its description in RNAcentral is "long non-coding RNA (GMAX_LNC004537)". Lineage: Eukaryota; Viridiplantae; Streptophyta; Magnoliopsida; Fabales; Fabaceae. The record is from RNAcentral.